CAAUAGCGUAUAUUAAAGUUGUUGCAGUUAGAACGCUCGUAGUCGGAUUUCGGGGCGGGCCGACCGGUCUGCCGAUGGGUACGCACUGGUCGGCGCGUCCUUCCUUCCGGAGACCGUUCCUACUCUUAACUGAGCGGGGGCGGGAGACGGAUCGUUUACCUUGAAAAAAUCAGAGUGUUUCAAGCAGGCAGCUCGCUCUUGCAUGGAUUAGCAUGGGAUAAUGAAAUAGGACUUUGGUGCUAUUUUGUUGGUUUCGAACACCGAAGUAAUGAUUAAAAGGGACAGUCAGGGGCACUCGUAUUCCGCCGAGAGAGGUGAAAUUCUCAGACCAGCGGAAGACGAACUACUGCGAAAGCAUUUGCCAGGGAUGUUUUCACUGA
RNAcentral lists this ribosomal RNA (380 nucleotides) under uncultured eukaryote. RNAcentral's name for it is "partial 18S ribosomal RNA". It matches the Rfam family "Eukaryotic small subunit ribosomal RNA", at positions 592 to 976 of the family's 1831-position model. The record is from RNAcentral.